GCUUGGGUAAUGGAUUAAGGAGGACAGACUGAGCGAGGAAGAGGAAAUCCAAUGCACAGAAACCAGGCUGGCUGGAAACAUCCAGUGUUGACAGAGUUUUCGGCAAUCGCAGGAAAAGGCCCCCUGCAAGAAAUUAUCAGGACAAAGUUGAAGGGGCACCAAGAUUUUGGAUCCAGUGGUGACUAUUUGUUGGUUUAUAUGCUGCCUCUCCAGCAUGGAGUCUGUCUGCAUGCACCAUGCUUCCCGCCUGACGAUAACGG
This is a non-coding RNA of Cricetulus griseus (Chinese hamster), 260 nucleotides long. The record is from RefSeq and is a predicted model, not a curated record. Lineage: Eukaryota; Metazoa; Chordata; Mammalia; Rodentia; Cricetidae.